CCAAGUUCUGGGCACCUGCCUAGGCGCUCCGCCUAGCGCUUUUUGAAACAUUGUCAGGGCCAACACUUGUUUCUUGAUUGAGCAAGACACGUUCUUAUAAUUCAUGCAUUGGAUUCUACUGUUGUGUAUUGUGAUGCCUUAAAUUGACAUUUUGCACGCCAGUAACAUAUUCAUCACACCAUUGGAAUAACCCACAUAAUAGACACUUAUAUUACAUCAUGUUAAGGUUUUUUGGGUUUACCGAUGCUUUCGUAGCAUAAUCUAUACUACACUUAGGGCAUUGUCGAGGGAUAUAUCCUCGAUUACUUGUAGAAUCAAAUGACAUUGUUAGGGCUUACAAUAAUCGCAUCAGAACCACACUGUGAAUGACAUAAUAAGUACAUAUUUCAAGCACAUCAUAACAUUCAUUGCAAAUAUGUCAAUGAACAGAGUACAUUGAAAAUGCAAAGCUCCUGACAAUUUGCAAAUGCAAAGCUAAAUAUGGAAAUAUUUAUUGACUUCACUAUGUAUAUAGCAUUGUGUAUAGAGAAUGUACCGACAGGAACUGAAUUAACAUCAAGCUCACAUAGAGUAGCCAAUAAGCCACCUCCCAUUGUUGUUCAAUUAUAAGUAUAACAUCCUUUUGUAAAAUUUGUUGUAAACCUGAUUAGACUAAACAAGUAUGUAAAGUUACAGCCACAAAAAAUACAACACAUUUAUGAAAAAAAUACAUGCAAUUCACUUAUAUAACUAUGGAUUUUUAAACAAAAAGCAAAUUAUUCCCCAAGAGGGGAAGAAAAAAGAUGCGUGAGAUACAUCAUACCAAACACUAUAAUGAUAUCAACCCAAAUGUCCCAAACUGAUUGGACACAAAAAUUCCACAAAAUAUGAAAAUGCACGAAAAAAAGAAAUACAACUAAAUGCAAUGCAACAACAACAAAUAUCCAUGGAAAAAUAUGAUUGCUAAACACAAAUGCAACAACAAGAUGUCUGCAAUAAAAGAAGAUUAAAAAAAAUAAACAAUAAAAAAAAAGAUCAAAUCAGAUAAAAAUUAGAACAUAGAAUACAUCAAGUGACAAAUAGGAAGAUCCUCCAAACAAAGAAUAGCCCAAAAACAACUACACAUCAAAGUGCUCAGAACAAGAGUUUAAUUCUAAGAAACAGAAAUACCAUAACAAAAACCCUAACUUUAGACUAGAUUACUCCAUCCUGGAUUAGUCAGUCAAACCAUAGCCUCAAUUCUGACACAAAAAAGAUGUCGGAGCUAUAACUAUAAUUCGAUAUUUCAAUGAAUAGAUACUUAUAAAUUCAAUAAAAAUUUGCUUAGUUUAAAACAUUUCUCAACAUAAAAACCAACAAUAUAAGAAAGAAACCAAAAAGAGAAUCAAUGCCACCUGAUUGUAAACAAUACAAAAUAACAAAAUUUGCAGAAAACAAUGAACAAUGAAGAAAAAAAAUACCGGGUGCGAGUUGGGAAUGUAUAGUUUAGAGAUUUGGGAAUCAAGGAGAGCCCUCAAAUACAUUCAUUAUCAAACAAAAAGCCGUAAUUCGUAAUGUAUAGUUCAGAGAUUUGAGGGGUUUUAACCAGUAAUGUGUAAAACUAUGAUAGAGAUCUGACAUUAUUCCUUACCUUCUGGUUGUAGAGAGAGAGGGGGACACGGCCUCCUGGUGUUAGAGAGAGCGA
RNAcentral lists this long non-coding RNA (1663 nucleotides) under Amborella trichopoda. RNAcentral's name for it is "long non-coding RNA (ATRI_LNC003608)". Lineage: Eukaryota; Viridiplantae; Streptophyta; Magnoliopsida; Amborellales; Amborellaceae. The record is from RNAcentral.